Molecule: ribosomal RNA, 302 nt
Filed under: uncultured bacterium
Lineage: Bacteria
Description: bacterial SSU rRNA
Rfam family: Bacterial small subunit ribosomal RNA
Source: RNAcentral
GAUUCAUCGGUGACGAAUAGGCUCGCGGGGCAUUAGCUUAGACGGCGGGGCAACGGCCCACCGUGGCGACGAUNCCGUAGGGGUUCUGAGAGGAAGACCCCCACACUGGGACUGAGACACGGCCCAGACUCCUACGGGAGGCAGCAGUGAGGAAUAUUGGUCAAUGGGCGGAAGCCUGAACCAGCCAUGCCGCGUGAAGGACUAAGGCCCUAUGGGUCGUAAACUUCUUUAGACGCAGAGCAAUAAGGGUCUCGUGAGAUCCGAUGAGAGUAUGCGUAGAAUAAGCAUCGGCUAACUCCGUG